AAAAUUGGGUAAUUUGCUCUUUUACUGUUUAGUUGUUUGAUCUCCAUGUAUAUUCUGAACAUUAAUCUUUUGUCAGAGGAAUAGUUUACAAAUAUUUUCUUCCAUUCUACGGGUUGUCUCUUCACUUUGUUGUUUUGUUUGCUGCACAGAAGCUUUUUUAGUUUUAUAUAAUCCCAUCGAUCUAUUUUUAGUUUUGCUGCCUGUGCUUUUGAAGUUUUAUCUAUAAAAUCCUUUCCCAGAUAUGUGUCCUGAAGCAUUUCUUCUAUGUUUUAUUUUGAUUUUAUUGAAUUUGUUAAUCAGCUCUAAGAGGUUUUUGGUGGAGUCUUCAGGGUUUUUAUAAAUAUAUACAGAUCAUGUUAUCUGCAAACAGGGACAAUUUGACUUUCUCUUUUCCAAUUUGGAUGCCUUUUAUUUUUUUUUUCUUGUCUAAUUACUCUGGCUGGAACUUCCAUAGACAUGUUGAAUAAGAGCAGUAAAAGUAGGCAUUCUUGUCUUGUUAUAUAAUAGUUAUUAAAGAUUCACUAUGAUGUUUGUCAUAUAUGGCCUACAUUGUGUUGGGGUAUGUUCCUUCUAGUAUUCCUACCUAAUUUAUUGAGAAUUUUUAUCAUGAGAGGAUGUUAAUGU
This 624-nucleotide long non-coding RNA is filed under the name Pan troglodytes (chimpanzee). RNAcentral's name for it is "long non-coding RNA NONPTRT014332". The record is from RNAcentral. Lineage: Eukaryota; Metazoa; Chordata; Mammalia; Primates; Hominidae.